Molecule: ribosomal RNA, 243 nt
Filed under: Triticum aestivum (bread wheat)
Lineage: Eukaryota; Viridiplantae; Streptophyta; Magnoliopsida; Poales; Poaceae
Description: partial small subunit ribosomal RNA
Source: RNAcentral
AUGCUCACGGAAUCGAGGAUGAGCUGCGCCGCCCCAAAAGCCCCCGCCGGAGAGGAGAAGAAGACGUCAUGGCCAGAGGUAGUGGGAAAGUCCAUCGAGGAGGCCAAGGAGAUCAUCCUUAAGGACAUGCCUGAUGCCAAUAUCGAUGUCCUUCCUGCUGGCUCGGCGAUGACCCUCGACUUCAGGACCAACCGUGUCCGCAUCAUCAUCGACACUGUCGUGACCACCCCUUCCAUUGGUUAG